RNAcentral lists this ribosomal RNA (745 nucleotides) under uncultured bacterium. RNAcentral's name for it is "bacterial SSU rRNA". It matches the Rfam family "Bacterial small subunit ribosomal RNA", at positions 729 to 1474 of the family's 1533-position model. The record is from RNAcentral.
CUGGACAAAGACUGACGCUCAGGUGCGAAAGCGUGGGGAGCAAACAGGAUUAGAUACCCUGGUAGUCCACGCUGUAAACGAUGUCGAUUUGAAGGUUGUUCCCUUGAGGAGUGGCUUUCGGAGCUAACGCGUUAAAUCGACCGCCUGGGGAGUACGGCCGCAAGGUUAAAACUCAAAUGAAUUGACGGGGGCCCGCACAAGCGGUGGAGCAUGUGGUUUAAUUCGAUGCAACGCGAAGAACCUUACCUACUCUUGACAUCCAGAGAACUUAGCAGAGAUGCUUUGGUGCCUUCGGGAACUCUGAGACAGGUGCUGCAUGGCUGUCGUCAGCUCGUGUUGUGAAAUGUUGGGUUAAGUCCCGCAACGAGCGCAACCCUUAUCCUUUGUUGCCAGCGAUUCGGUCGGGAACUCAAAGGAGACUGCCGGUGAUAAACCGGAGGAAGGUGGGGAUGACGUCAAGUCAUCAUGGCCUUUACGAGUAGGGCUACACACGUGCUACAAUGGCGUAUACAAAGAGAAGCGACCUCGCGAGAGCAAGCGGAACUCAUAAAGUACGUCGUAGUCCGGAUUGGAGUCUGCAACUCGACUCCAUGAAGUCGGAAUCGCUAGUAAUCGUAGAUCAGAAUGCUACGGUGAAUACGUUCCCGGGCCUUGUACACACCGCCCGUCACACCAUGGGAGUGGGUUGCAAAAGAAGUAGGUAGCUUAACCUUCGGGAGGGCGCUUACCACUUUGUGAUUCAUGA